Molecule: ribosomal RNA, 253 nt
Filed under: uncultured bacterium
Lineage: Bacteria
Description: partial 16S ribosomal RNA
Rfam family: Bacterial small subunit ribosomal RNA
Source: RNAcentral
UACAGAGGGUGCGAGCGUUAAUCGGAAUUACUGGGCGUAAAGCGUGCGCAGGCGGUGAUGUAAGACCGAUGUGAAAUCCCCGGGCUUAACCUGGGAACUGCAUUGGUGACUGCAUCGCUCGAGUAUGGCAGAGGGGGGUAGAAUUCCACGUGUAGCAGUGAAAUGCGUAGAGAUGUGGAGGAAUACCGAUGGUGAAGGCAGCCCCCUGGGUCAAUACUGACGCUCAUGCACGAAAGCGUGGGGAGCAAACAGG